CUUGGGAGAAUGAUUCUUAUUUUAAUAAUAAUAUAUAUUAUUAUUAAACUUAAGUAUUCAUGAAAUUUGAAUAUAAUUCUAGGUAAAAAUUUGAUAAUGACAAAGUUUUAUCUAUUUGUCUUGACCAAAUCUUGUGCCAGCAGUCGCGGCAACACAAGGAAGACAAGUGUUAUUCAUCUUAAAUCGGUUUAAGGGGUACCUAGACGGUAAAUUAGGCCAUAGUAGGAACGUUUUUACUAGAGUUAUACAUGCAUGGGGAUUGUGUCAGUAUUACCAGAGUAGAGAUGAAAUUUUUUGAUACUGUUAAGACUGGUAAAGGCGAAAGCAAACCUUUAUAUAUUAACUGACGUUGAGGGACGAAGGCUUGGGGAGCAAACAGGAUUAGAUACCCUAAUAGUCCAGGCAGAGAAUUA
Molecule: ribosomal RNA, 413 nt
Filed under: Astrothelium scorioides
Lineage: Eukaryota; Fungi; Ascomycota; Dothideomycetes; Trypetheliales; Trypetheliaceae
Description: mitochondrial SSU rRNA
Rfam family: Bacterial small subunit ribosomal RNA
Source: RNAcentral